UAGUGACGAGCCUCGAGUAUUAUACUUGAGGUACGUAACACCUGUGAAUUUCUAUGCGUGGCGAACGGCAUUGCGAAAGCUCAUUGCGAAAGCUCUGCAGUAGAGGAAUCUACACGUCGCCAAACUCAUCCACCGUCAAUACAAAUAAAAUAUA
RNAcentral lists this unclassified non-coding RNA (154 nucleotides) under uncultured fungus. RNAcentral's name for it is "sequence contains ITS1, 5.8S rRNA gene". The record is from RNAcentral. Lineage: Eukaryota; Fungi.